This 9701-nucleotide long non-coding RNA is filed under the name Populus tremula. RNAcentral describes it as "long non-coding RNA (PTRE_LNC000175)". The record is from RNAcentral. Lineage: Eukaryota; Viridiplantae; Streptophyta; Magnoliopsida; Malpighiales; Salicaceae.
AAGAUUUUGUUGAUUUACUUUUUAGUUUUCUCACCAUUCCACUUGGGUAUUUGAUGAAUGAAAUGCAUGGUGGACAAUCAAAAGGAAGCAUCCACCACCUAUAUGACAGUGUCAUUGAUCUCGAUGCUACGAAAUACCUGAAGUCGAAUGACAUUAAAGAGAUUCUUCUAAAUCCUAAGAUUGCACCUGGUUCUGGCUAUAAGAACCAGCCACUAGGUGUUAAGGAAGCUGUUGAUAACCAGCAGUACUACUAUGAUUGGAAUUCUUCCAAUUCCACUAAGAACUGAAAGCAAAAGUCUCGUUCUACACUCCCACUUUUAACUAUGAUGGAUCCCAAAUCACCCUACAAAGAGGGCACAGAAGGUGAUGGAUUUUUGCUAGAUCCUGCAAUGUUCACCGUAAGUGACGAUCUUGUUGUUACACCAAUAUCGCCUGUCUCAGAACUAUCUUUACUGGAAAAAUUGAAGAUACCUUUAAUGACAUCUAUGUCUGCGAGGUUCAAGUUGGCAGAGAAGAGGUAAGUCAAACUAACUAAUUUCUGCACUCUCUUAUUAGCCAUGAUAUUUAAUUAAUUAUAAAGCUCUUAAGAAAAAUCAUGCCUGUCAACUUCAUGCUUAUGUCUUUGUUAAUUUUGUCUUCAGAACUGUAAGUUUAUUUAUUUUUUAUUCUAUUUAUUCAACCAACAGAUUUAUAGGAUAGAAGUGGCAUAAAAACUAUUUUACCUGUUCUUCUAAGAUCCUUUUUUGUUAAUGGCAUUUGUUAAAAUUCGCAUCAUAUAUAACAGUCUUCAAACAGGAAUAUUGGUUUGAUGGGCAUUUUUUUUUCUGCUGCAGGCUUCCCGUCUUUUAGCAGCUUCUUUUGUAUCUGAAUCUGCUCUUACUGAUACCUUCCUACGUAAGAUGCCAAAAGAUGCCUUAAUUUCUGAUGUUCUGAAAGAAUAAUCUUGAGGACAUCUGUGUGCUUAAUUGAUCAAGUAUAUUUUCUGGUCAUCUUGAACCUGGUUUUUUAUUGAUGUGAUAGAUAGUCUGUCAUGUGUGGGAGAUUUGUUGAUCCUCAAGACUUUCAUGUAAGUCGAAUUAAGGUGCUGCUUUUGCUUCAUAAUUACAGUUUCAGACAAGAUUAAUUUGACUCCAAAUUGGUAGGCAGAGAGUAUCUUGAACCGCACCGAAUAAAACUCUCACUUGGUGGCAAAGCAUACACUAGAAAUUAUGCCUUCCCGAGGAAACACAGUUUUUUUAAAAGUUCUAAAUAUCUAUUCAGCGUUCCUGCUAUCUCCUUCUGCAAUCUAUGAUGAAGUCUCAAACAGUAUUUUAAGUUGGUCUGGACUAUUUUGUAUGCUUUUCAUAACGAAUCAUUAAUUAAUUGAAUGGCAGCAUCAUGAAAUGUAAUCAUCAGGGGUGACUUGGCCCACCUCCUCGACUAUAGAUUCGAAAUGGGAGUUGUUUUAACAUUCAAUUCCCAGCAAAUUUCGUGGCAGGAACGUCUCGUGCAUGGCAGCUUCUUUUAUCUCUGAAUUGGAGGGCAGUAAAUAACAAAUGCCUUCAACCAUAAGAACCGGAAACAUAACUAUAUAUGCAUGUGGAAAUCCACAACAUCAAUGCCUUGGUACUUCAGUGUAUGUAAAACAUAUUUGGUGAUAAAUCGAAACAGAAACUUUCAGAUCAGAUAACCUGAAUCUCUUACUUGGAAAUUGUUUAAAAUUCCAUUUAAAUUGCAAGGCAAUGUUAUCUCCUCCAACUUGUCAUUUCCUAUUCUUAAUAAAUUUCUAGUUCAUUUACUGAGCACAAUUAGGUUUUUGAUAAGAAGGAAUUUCAAAACUGGAAAAUAAUCUGUGUUUUUCUGCCGUUUUUUAAAAACUUCACAGCCAAUACUGUGUAGUUAUUGUCCUGAAACUUCUCUGUAGUGCUACAGCCAGAAGGCCCAAAACACAAGAUAUAUUAUCUCUUCCCUUUCUAGUUAUUGUUGUCAACAAUACGAAGCUAUAACCCAAGCCUCAGGGGCUGGAAUCUUUACAUUGCUGCCAUACCAUUCAUUUACUUGUACCACUACCUGAGACAGAGAAUGCAGAAUGCAUGGGAUAUCGAGUUGUCUGUGUUAUAAGUACAUGGUCUUAUGACAGUCCGAAUAUAACUACUAUAUGGAUUUCUCUGUUUCAGUGAUUGAUCUCCCCAGAACAUCAUUGUGCUGCACGCUUCACAUCUUUGGUAGCUUCCUUUAUCGAUCUGCGAAAAACCCUUGGCCAAUAUUCCUUCAUCAGCAAAAACUUGAGAAUAGUUUUCAUUGGUGAUGGUUUUGGUUUUUUGUUUCUUGUGUGUGUGUGCAAAAUUUGGAAGCUAUGAGCAUAGGUACGUGAUUAAGAAUAGUAUAUUUAAGAUGUUGAAUGAAUAACCAUGGUAGAUGAGUCUAGUAAACAUAUCAUUAUACAAUAUAUUUCUAGUGGCUCAAUUUACACGUUCUCAUUGCAUAUACAUGCGCCAAGGUCUAGUGGAAAAUCCAGGGAAAUGAAUCUGCCUUUUCAGGUCUCGAGUAAAUAAUGUCUCUGGUCCUAGUCUAUAAAGAAGGCUGUUCACCAUGGAUCUUUCUCCAAGGCUGUUUCUGCUUUCAGGUUUCGAAUUUUGGUACGAUGCAUGACAAUUAAAGUAAGAAGCAAUUAGAUAAAGGAUUUCUGUCUUUAAAUUCCUGUUCCAUUCUUGAGGAUUGUAAAUGUUGGGGAAAUAGAAAGUACUAUUAAACAUUAAUUCGCAAUUAUGACUGAUAUUAUGAUUCCCCCAAUUCAUAGCAUGACCCUAGCUGUUAGAACAAUCUAUAGGUGUUUUUGUUGCAGGCUUCACGUCUCUUGGCAGCUUCUUUGAUUUCUGAAUCUGCUUUAACCGAUACCGUCAUCAUCCGUAAAGAGCCAAAAGAUACCUUCAUCUGCAAAGUUCCAAACCAAGAAUACUGAGAACAUCUUCGUUUGCGUUAUUGACUAUCUAGUAUAGGCAUUUGUUCAAUUCGGAACUAUAAUCCUGCCUUUGCUUAUAAUUCCUGAAUGAAUACAGUUGAAGAAUGGUUCUCUGUUGCAGGAAAAUGCAACUCAAAGGGUCUCCAUUUCAAACUAGGUCUGAAAUAUACAACAACACAUUUUUCAGGGAAUGAUAUUUUUCAUAAUUGAAAUUUGCGCAGAGUAUGAACUAAGCCUCUUCAGGGCCCAAAUCAAGGUAUCCAUUCCGAAUCUCAGGCCAAAACAGAAGAAUAUUUUGACUUCAUAUUGGAUGCGAGCUGGGGUGGCUGAAUUCUCGAUCAUAACGAGAAGUUAAAAAAUCAAAUAGUUGCACACUUUGGAACACACAAGGAACAAACCAGUUUGAGGAAGGAUUGAAGCAGGUGCUAGAUUGAUACACAGUAGUAGUGUGUGUCAGCUUCUGGAAUUUGUCUAUUUUUGUGCUUCUGGUAAUGAAAUUGAACUGCACGGUGAAAUGGUUUCUCUGCAGCACCACCUGUAAUCAUCAUGUUCACCUGUAAUCAUCCAUGCCAUUCAAGCAACUACAGGAUGCAAAAUGGUCGCUCCGCCUUUUGAUCUCCUGUAUUUUAAUUUCUGGCGUUGAGGGCUUCAUAUCUCUGAAUUGGAAGUGAGUCACUAAGCAAUGCUUCACCCGUACAAACCUGAAACAAGAACUUUAGAUCUUACAAGUUAACUGUUUUUUUUUUUUUAACUCGAGUUUUUUUUUUUUUAUGAUUUAACUUUGGGUUUUGUUUUUGUUUUUUUUUAAUUAAUUGUUUUAUUUUGGUCUCAUAUUACGUGUUAGUGGUUAGUUAAGAUAACCCGGAUUAACUUGCGUUUUUUUCCCAACGUAUCCUUUCUUGAAGUUGAUGUUUUUUUUUUCCUUUCAUUUUUAUCUUUUAGGAUUUAGUUAUUAGGCUCUUUGUGAAUUUUUUUGCUUUUUUUUUUUAUGUGGAAUUACCAUAAGUUGCAGGUUAGUCAAGUUAACUCAAGUAAAAUUUAGUUUUUUAUUUUAUUUUAUUUUUUAUUUUUUAUUUUUUAUCUUACGUCUUUUUUUUCUAGGCCUUUUAAAAAAAUAGUUUUUUUUUCAUAUUGUGGAUCGUGUGGUAGUCGAGUUAACUUGGUUUUUUUAUGUUUAUAUUUUUUUAAAUUAUUAUUUUUUAUUUCAUCCUUUAACAUUACAUUAUUGGGCCUUGAGCUUUGUGAUUCUUUUCGCUUUUAUUUUUGUUGGGUUAUCCCGAAUCACAAGUUAAUCAAGUUAAUCGGGUUGACUUGACUUUUUUUUCAAUGUUUUUUUAUUGAUUUAACUUCAGUCUUUCUAAAAGCAUUUUUUUUAUCUCGGAAUUGCAUAAAGGGUGGUAGAUUUGUCAAGUUAACCAAGUUGACUUAAGUUCUUAUCCAUCGGUUAGAUAACUUUUUUUUAUAUUGGAAAAACAUUAACUCAACUUGUAGGGUAGCAUGAGCCACCCAUCUAGUAUAAAACUAAAGAAAGAGAGGGUUUCAUUGUAUUCCUCCUGGCAUAAGACUAUUCACUUUAAUAUUGUUUUUUUUUUUACUUUCAUAGUUUUUCCUUUUGAUCUAUAUUUUUUUUCAUUUUCAAUUUCAUCAUUUAAUGUUAGGUUUAUCGUGGAUUAUGCUUCAUAUUUUAUUUUAAUUUACUUUUUAUGAGAUUAUCCUAAAUUUAUGACUCGAAUUGCAAGUUUGAUAUAGUAACUCAUUUGACUCAAAUUUUUUUCCUAUUUUCCUAGGAUUUUUUUUUUUUAUCUUAAAUUUGUCUUUCAAAACUAGGUUGAUUGGGAAUUAGGAUUCGUUAUUUAUUUUGUUCCACUUUCUAUGAGGUUAUCCUCAUUUUAUAACUUGGGUCACGGGUUUAGCAGGUUAACCUUGGUUGACCUGAGUUAUUUUUUGUGUUUUUUUUUAAUUGAUUUUUUUUCAAUUUCAUCUUUUAAUAUUGAGUUGAUUUAAAAUUGAACUCAAUAAUUUAUUUUGAUUUGCUUUCUAUUAUGUUAUCCUGGUUCAUGACGUGAGUCACAGGUUUGUCAGGUUAACCAAAGUUCACCCAAAUCAUUUUUUUUAUUUUUUAAUUAAUUGUUUUUAAGUUUCAUCCUUUAAUAUUGAGUUUAUUGAAAAUUAAACUUUCUAAUUUGUUUUGAUUUAUUGUUCAUGGUGUUAUCAUGAUCUCAUGACUUAGUAUAUGAGUUGAUAGGUUAACUCGAGAUGACUCGAAUCGAUUUAAUAUAUUGUUCUCUCGAUGUUUAUUAAAAACAUAUCACUUUAAAUAUUUAUUUUGAAUCAAAUUAUAUUUUUAUCGGUUUUUUGAAUUGUAUUUAGACUCGUCAAGACGACCAAGUCACUUUAGAUCAAUCUCCAAACAAUUUUUUUUUUGCUACUAGAAAAAAUUUAAUCUGACUCGCAGUGUAAAGCAGGGCAAUUAUCUAGUAAUAUUUAAAAUACAUCCUUAAUUAAUCUAAUCUAAGAAAAAAAAUAUAUUUUUUAAUAUACUAAAUAUAUUUUAAAUAAUUUUAUCUUCAACAAGUUAGAUAUAAGGUGUUGGAAAAAGAUUUUUUUUUUAAAAAAAAAAAGAAAAGAAAAAGGCCAAGGGAGCAAACGAGCAUGGAAGAUUGAGCAUGUCAAUGCCAUGAAAAAAAAAAAUGGCGCAUGGGCUUUGCCAAUACAAGCUUGUGUGUUUGAUUUUUUUUAUUUUUUUGGAGUUGACAAGGUCAAAUUUAUGUUAUUUUUAAAGGAUGCAAUCAUGUUGUCUAAAGGUCAAAUUCAGGUUAUGCAAGGUGAUUUAAAAAAACAUGGGAGAUUUUUUUUAUAUAAAAAAACUUAAUUUUUCAUUCAUUUUUAUUUGAAAAUACCUUAAAAAACAUUCUUUAAACCUUAAAUAAUUAAUUCCUCAAUUCAAGAUUUCUCAAAUUGAUUUAAAAACACAAAAUUAAAUGAAACAUAAAAAACCUCAGACAACCCUAAUUUAUUUUUUUUAGGUGAUAAGAAAACACUACAAUGAAACCCCCUUGCAAGUGAAAAAUUUUAGUUUUCUCACCAUUCCACUUGGGUAUUUGAUGAAUGAAAAGCAUGGUGGACAAUCAAAAGGAAGCAUCCACCACCUAUAUGACAGUGUCAUUGAUCUCGAUGCUACGAAAUACCUGAAGUCGAAUGACAUUAAAGAGAUUCUUCUAAAUCCUAAGAUUGCACCUGGUUCUGGCUAUAAGAACCAGCCACUAGGUGUUAAGGAAGCUGUUGAUAACCAGCAGUACUACUAUGAUUGGAAUUCUUCCAAUCCACUAAGAACUGAAAACAAAAGUCCUCGCGGUCAAAUGAUUGGAAUUCUUCCAAUCCCACUUUUAACUAUGAUGGAUCCCAAAUCACCCUUCGAAGAGGGUACAGGAGGUGGUGGAUUUUUGCUAGAUCCUGCAAUGUUCACAGUAAGUGACGAUCUUGUUGUUACACCAAUAUCGCCUGUCUCAGAACUAUCUUUACUGGAAAAAUUGAAGAUAUCUUUUAAUGACAUCUAUGUCUGCGAGGUUCAAGUUGGCAGAGAAGAGGUCAGUCAAACUAACUAAUUUCUGCACUCUUUUAUUAUCCAUGAUAUUUAAUAUUUAAUUAUAAAGCUUUUAAGAAAAAUCAUGCCUGUCAACUUCAUGCUUAUGUCUUAGUUAAUUUUGUCUUGAUCAGAACUGUAAGAUUAUUUAUUUUUUAUUCUAUUUAUUCAACCAAACAGAUUUAUAGGAUAGAAGUGGCAUAAAAACUAUUUUACCUGUUCUUCUAAGAUCCUUUUUUUGUUAAUGUCAUUUGUUAAAAUUCGCAUCAUAUAUAACAGUCUUCAAACAGGAAUAUUGGUGUGAUGGACAUUUUCUUUUUCUGCUGCAGGCUUCCCGUCUCUUAGCAGCUUCUUUUGUAUCUGAAUCUGCUCUUACUGAUACCUUCAUACGUAAGAUGCCAAAAGAUGCCUUAAUUUCCGAUGUUCUGAAAGAAUAAUCUUGAGGACAUCUGUGUGCUUAAUUUAUCAAGUAUAUUUUCUGGUCAUCUUGAACCUGGUUUUUUAUUAAUGUGAUAGAUAGUCUGUCAUGUGUGGGAGAAUUAUUGAUUCUCAAGACUUUCAUGUAAGUCGAAUUAAGGUGCUGCUUUUGCUUCAUAAUUGCCUGGAAACACAAUUUAGAAAGGGCUUACAGUUUCAGACAAGAUUAAUUUGACUCCAAAUUGGUAGGCAGAGAGUAUCUGAACCACACCGAAUAAAACUCUCACUUGGUGGCAAAGCAUGCUAAUUUCUUGUUUGUAACGUCUCGUGCAUGUUGCUUCUUUUAUCUCUGAAUUGGAGGUCAGUCAAUAACAAAUGCCUUCAGCCAUAAAAAACUGGAAACGAGAAUACUUGGAUCUUCAUAGAUAUUCUCCCCUUUUCUUCUUUUUUCCGAUGAAUGAGUAAAAGGAGUCUUAUAAGCAAAACUAAACUGUACCUGUGGAAAUCUACAACAUCGAUGCCUUGGUACUUCAGUGUAUGUAAAACAUAUUUGGUGAUAAAUGGAAACAGAAACUUUCAGAUCAGAUAACCUGAAUCUCUUACUUGGAAAUUGUUUAAAAUUCUGAAGAAUUUUGAAGCAGAGAAGAGACGUGAGACAAUGCAGUAAAACAGAGUUCUGCAUUAUAUUUUCUUAUGCUGUACAUAUGCAUAUAUAUUUAUAUAUAUAUAAAAGGAAAAACUUGCAGCAAGGAAAGACAAUCCUGCGUAUCCUUUCUCCUAACAGUAUGCUAAUAUUAUAUGUUAAUAAUAAAUACACAAUCAUAUCUAAACUAGGUGACAAAUAAGUUAUACUUGGUAAUAGCAUAAUAAUGAAGAUCUUCAUCGCUUCAGUAUCUUCAAUACCCCCCUCAAUCUGGAUCCAGUGGAUUGGUGGAUCCAAGCUUGCUUAAUAACCGAUGAAAUUGAGUGGAAGGUAAGGCUUUGGUAAGCACAUCAGCUAGUUGAUCAUGAGAUCAUACAUACUGAGGAUGGAUAAGUUUAGCUUGAACUUGCUAAUGAAUGUAAUGACAAUCUACUUCAAUAAUCUGUGUUUUUCUACUGUUUUUGAAAAACUUCGCAGCCAAUACUGUCUAGUUAUUGUCCUGAAACUUCUCUGUAGUGCUACAGCCAGAACACAAGAUAUAUUAUCUCUUCCCUUUCUAGUUAUUGUUGUCAACAAUACGAAGCUAUAACCCAAGCCCAGGGGCUAGAAACUUUACAUUGCUGCCAUACCAUUCAUUUACUUGUACCACUGCCUCAGACAGAGAAUGCAGAAUGCAUGGGGUAUCGAGUUGUCUGUGUUAUAAGUACAUGGUUUUAUGACAAUCCGAAUAUAACUACGAUAUGGAUUUCUCUGUUUCAGUGAUUGAUCUCCCCAGAACAUCAUUGUGUUGCACGCUUCACAUCUUUGGUAGCUUCCUUUAUCGAUAUGCGAAUAACCCUUAGCCAAUAUUCCUUCAUCAGCAAAAACUUGAGAAUAUUGCCGGACUGCUAUAGUGUCCACACCAUCAUCAAAGCUCAUGACUUUCACUAGCCUGCAUUCCACCACCACCACUUGUUUAUCUAUACGGCAAAGUAAGAAGAAUCUGUGUAUUUCUUUAACGUGUUAAGACUGAUAAGGAUGUACAUGUUUCUGUGAUAAGUAUAUCCAAUUCCUCUAGUUUAUCCCUUUUUCUUUUUCCUGUCUACUUCUGCGGGCUUUCCGUCUUAUGGGAACAAUCAUCCAUCUCAUCAGUAAUCUGUCACCGACAAAUGGGAUUGGUUGCAUGAACAACUUAUAUAAAAGUGUUGAAAAUACAGAUGCUAUGUAUUUCCGGAACAUCCUCAUAAUGCCGCUGCAGCUUAUUGUAAGAGCCUAAAACUGAAAAUUGAUGACAUUGACACUUCAAGUUUUUUUUGUUGCUAGAGUUCCGAAUGUUCUACUUCUGGCUACAAGUUGUGGAGUCAUUACAAAAAUCUCUAUUGUGGUUGUGGACGUCCCAUGAGCCAUAAUUUGAAUCUAUCAUGGCGCCGGGCUCCAUCCAAUAAUGGAUCUGACGCAAGAAAUCGAGGGGUGUUUGUUGAAGGGCUGACCCGAUUUAUUGUAAGUGAUUAUUUUCAAGUGAUGCCAGCAUCAAUUUCAGCAAGCAUUGCUCUUCUUACAAAGCUUGGAGUCAUGGAUACAAGUAACAUCGAGGAGAGGAUUUUUGACAUUGGAGUAACACAGGUAUGAUCUAAUAAAUGAGCUGUUGUAGUAUUGUCUAGCCUUGUGCUAUGUACAGAAGUACCAAUUUUAAUGUCUUUGUUUUAGGACUUGGAAUUGCUGGAGUGCUCAUUGGCAUCAAGGACACCUCUGACCGAAGUUUUGCUUUCUCGUAAGGAAGUUCCUAAGUUAAGAAAUGCAGAUUCCCUUCUAAGAACCUCUCUUAUGCAUGAAAUACUAGAGCAUCAAUCAGAAAGAAAUGGUGAGACGUCUGUUAGGCUUGUGGUUUGCAAAUCCAAGAAAGUGGUUUGUUACGCAGAAGCAUCAAAAGAUUUUGUUGAUUUACUUUUUAGUUUUCUCACCAUUCCACUUGGGUAUUUGAUGAAUGAAAAGCAUGGUGGACAAUCAAAAGGAUGCAUCCACCACCUAUAUGACAGUGUCAUUGAUCUCGAUGCACCGAAAUACCUGAAGUCAAAUGACAUUAAAGAGAUUCUUCUAAAUCCUAAGAUUGCACCUGGUUCUGGCUAUAAGAACCAGCC